Molecule: long non-coding RNA, 158 nt
Organism: Lycium ferocissimum
Lineage: Eukaryota; Viridiplantae; Streptophyta; Magnoliopsida; Solanales; Solanaceae
Exons: 2
Source: RefSeq, a predicted model, not a curated record
CUGUUGACUCCCACCCGCACAUGUACCAGGUAAUCCUAAUCCACCAAGGGCUGGACAAGAGGGAAGAAAUCACUAGCCACUAGGAUUUGAAACUGAGACCACUGACUACUGGGCUACACCCUUAACAACACAAGAACAACUACAUAGCACUUAAAGAU